UCGCCUUCCUUUCCGCGACGGGGCGGAACUUUCCCCCUCACGUUCUCUUCCCGUCGCAAAGGUCUUGUCCAUGGCGCCGGCUAGUUUCUAGUGGGAUUUCUCGGAGCGGUCUCGGAGCUGGGAUCGAGGGGACCACUCGGGUCGAAGGUGCCUCCUCGCGAUAAUCGGCCAAGCGAUGUGUGCCCUCCUCGAAGCUCAGUGCCGAGAAAAUGAAUCGCAGUCUGGAUCUGUCAUCCUCGUCGUCUUCGAUUCAAUCGACGCUUCUAGAUCCAAGCCAGCGAAGGUGAUUGCCUCCUCUUCCAUGCGAUUGGGUUCCUUUCUACAUUUCCCCAACCAUGCUACAUAUGUGAACCCUAACUGUUGGGGAACGUAUAGAAUCAUACCAUUUUUUCCAUGUAACGGCUUCAAAUGUAGGAUUAUUUCAGUUUUAUUUGGUUUUGAACCUACCAAACUUGUGUACCCAAGGUUUUAGUGGCAUGCAGUGCGACCAGAUUCAAUAUGGCAUCCAUUCUUGAAUUUUUGUGGUACUUCCAACUCGUUUAUGUGCUCUUUCUGAGUAAUAUGAG
This 566-nucleotide long non-coding RNA is filed under the name Zea mays. RNAcentral describes it as "long non-coding RNA NONZMAT001520". Lineage: Eukaryota; Viridiplantae; Streptophyta; Magnoliopsida; Poales; Poaceae. The record is from RNAcentral.